Molecule: transfer RNA, 67 nt
Filed under: Steatornis caripensis (oilbird)
Lineage: Eukaryota; Metazoa; Chordata; Aves; Caprimulgiformes; Steatornithidae
Description: tRNA-Phe
Source: RNAcentral
GUCCCUGUAGCUUAACCAAAGCAUGGCACUGAAGAUGCCAAGAUGGCCCCCCCCCGACCCAGGGACA